Molecule: ribosomal RNA, 767 nt
Filed under: uncultured microorganism
Description: bacterial SSU rRNA
Rfam family: Bacterial small subunit ribosomal RNA
Source: RNAcentral
GUCGAACGGCAGCAUGAUCUAGCUUGCUAGAUUGAUGGCGAGUGGCGAACGGGUGAGUAAUACAUCGGAACGUGCCCUGUAGUGGGGGAUAACUAGUCGAAAGAUUAGCUAAUACCGCAUACGACCUGAGGGUGAAAGUGGGGGACCGCAAGGCCUCAUGCUAUAGGAGCGGCCGAUGUCUGAUUAGCUAGUUGGUGGGGUAAAGGCCCACCAAGGCGACGAUCAGUAGCUGGUCUGAGAGGACGAUCAGCCACACUGGGACUGAGACACGGCCCAGACUCCUACGGGAGGCAGCAGUGGGGAAUUUUGGACAAUGGGCGAAAGCCUGAUCCAGCAAUGCCGCGUGUGUGAAGAAGGCCUUCGGGUUGUAAAGCACUUUUGUCCGGAAAGAAAUGGCUCUGGUUAAUACCUGGGGUCGAUGACGGUACCGGAAGAAUAAGGACCGGCUAACUACGUGCCAGCAGCCGCGGUAAUACGUAGGGUCCAAGCGUUAAUCGGAAUUACUGGGCGUAAAGCGUGCGCAGGCGGUUGUGCAAGACCGAUGUGAAAUCCCCGAGCUUAACUUGGGAAUUGCAUUGGUGACUGCACGGCUAGAGUGUGUCAGAGGGGGGUAGAAUUCCACGUGUAGCAGUGAAAUGCGUAGGGAUGUGGAGGAAUACCGAUGGCGAAGGCAGCCCCCUGGGAUAACACUGACGCUCAUGCACGAAAGCGUGGGGAGCAAACAGGAUUAGAUACCCUGGUAGUCCACGCCCUAAACGAUGUCAACU